CGCCUACCUUCGAGAAUCUGUUAUGAUGAAGUGAUAGGUUUUGAAUUUUCUGAGGUACUAAACUGAGCAUCACUACAGAAAUGAAUGGAUAGUAUAGGUACAGAUAAAAUAAAGUUGUUAGUAUUUGAUCAAAUAUUAAUUUAAUUGUCAAGUUCAGUUGUUAUAAUUCAAAAUUCUAAAGAAACCUGACUUAAAAAAGGACAGUGGCUGAAAAAAGAAACUGUACUAUAAUAUUGCAGUAAUAGAAAUUGGCAAGAAAAACUCGUCACGCGAAAAUGAGAAUACGACUAAAACUAGAAUGAAUAUCAAUUACAAUAACAAUACACGCGCCGUACAACUAAUACUAUGUUUAAUGAUGCAUAGAAAUAUUCACAAAAAGAUGUUUAAUUUAAAUAAUUGAUUAAUUAUUUAUCAGCUGCGCUGAAGUCCAUUAAAUCAUGUCAACAAAAAUUAAAGUUUUUUAAAUUUAAAACAACGCGUUGUGACAAAUGAUUGACAUUUGACAGUAAUUAAAAUUUGUAUCAUGAAAUGUAUAACAAACAUUAUUAAAU
Molecule: long non-coding RNA, 551 nt
Organism: Aphis gossypii (cotton aphid)
Lineage: Eukaryota; Metazoa; Arthropoda; Insecta; Hemiptera; Aphididae
Exons: 3
Source: RefSeq, a predicted model, not a curated record